CAGGACCAAGUUUGGGAAACCCUGCCCUAGAAAAGAACUGUAUAGACAGAAGAUUUAGCAACUCUUGGAGGACAAUCGAAUUAAAAAAUAUAUAUAUAUUGUUAAAAGUGGAACCAACACGUUUCAGCUUUUGGCCUUUAAACAAAGAUUAUUUUAUUUAAUUCCAAUGUCCUCCCAAGAGUUGCUAUAUCUCCUCUCUACUUCAGUUUGCUCCUCAAUUCAUGCACCUUGGUUGGAGAGCGAGGUAGCUGCAGUGCUCCCUUCCCUAGAACAGAACAGUGCCUCAGCCUACAGGACAAGCCAGCUAGACACACAGACGGGACAUAUUUUUCAUAGAUCCUGGAUAUGAUUAUGUUUCUGAAUUCUCAUUUGCUGCAAUUGUCAAUGUUCCAGGGGGAACUUUUCUUGGAAAUGUGAGCAAGCGCCAUAUUGAAACGCUUUCCCCUCAAUCAAAAAGAAAUAAGAUUAAAGUGCAUAUAUAACAUUAUUCCAGCUGUGUAAGAGCAUUGGAAUGUUACAAUAUCAAAAAGUAACGGUAGAAUUCUAUUUGAUUGAAAUAUGUUGAUAUGCAAAGCCAACACUUCAGUAUAAAGGAAGCUAUGUUUUCUGAUGGUGAAUAUAGAAUGAUUAUAAUAACACUAUGUUUUCUGAUGGUGAAUAUGGAAUGAUUAUAAUAACACUAGGUUUUCUGAUGGUGAAUAUAGAAUGAUUAUAAUAACACUAUGUUUUCUGAUGGUGAAUAUAGAAUGAUUAUAAUAACACUAUGUUUUCUGAUGGUGAAUAUGGAAUGAUUAUAAUAACACUAUGUUUUCUGAUAUAAUAAUAAUAUAUGCCAUUUAGCAGACGCUUUUAUCCAAAGCGACUUACAGUCAUGUGUGCAUACAUUCUACGUAUGGGUGGUCCCGGGAAUCGAACCCACUACCCUGGCGUUACAAGCGCCAUGCUCUACCAACUGAGCUACAGAAGGACCACAAUAAUAACACUAUGUUUUCAAAAGGUUCUCCAUGUAUGUACCGUCGAAACAUAAACUAAAGUGUUGGGGUCGGGGUGAGGGCUUUUAUGUAGAUUUUCAAUGCAAUCAAAUUGUGUAGCUAUCCUGUUUUAUAAAGAGUUUGCAUUGCCAAUAAAUGAAUGUGGCAAAUUGUCAAACAAUUCUGUUCAA
Long non-coding RNA from Oncorhynchus gorbuscha (pink salmon), 1162 nucleotides. RefSeq lists it as uncharacterized. The record is from RefSeq and is a predicted model, not a curated record. NCBI's taxonomy places the organism in Eukaryota, Metazoa, Chordata, Actinopteri, Salmoniformes, Salmonidae. The transcript is spliced from 2 exons.